Molecule: non-coding RNA, 72 nt
Organism: Apaloderma vittatum (bar-tailed trogon)
Lineage: Eukaryota; Metazoa; Chordata; Aves; Trogoniformes; Trogonidae
Source: Rfam
GACCGGUUAGCUCAGUCAACUGAGCGUGGCGCUGACAACGUCAAGGUCGCGGGUUUGAUUCCCGUUCUGUCC